UUAAGCGACUAAGCGUACACGGUGGAUGCCCUGGCAGUCAGAGGCGAUGAAGGACGUGCUAAUCUGCGAAAAGCGUCGGUAAGGUGAUAUGAACCGUUAUAACCGGCGAUGUCCGAAUGGGGAAACCCAGUGCAAUUCGUUGCACUAUCGUUAACUGAAUACAUAGGUUAACGAGGCGAACCGGGGGAACUGAAACAUCUAAGUACCCCGAGGAAAAGAAAUCAACCGAGAUUCCCCCAGUAGCGGCGAGCGAACGGGGAGCAGCCCAGAGUCUGAAUCAGCUUGUGUGUUAGUGGAACGGUCUGGAAAGUCCGACGGUACAGGGUGAUAGUCCCGUACACCAAAAUGCACAGGUUGUGAACUCGAAGAGUAGGGCGGGACACGUGGUAUCCUGUCUGAAUAUGGGGGGACCAUCCUCCAAGGCUAAAUACUCCUGACUGACCGAUAGUGAACCAGUACCGUGAGGGAAAGGCGAAAAGAACCCCGGCGAGGGGAGUGAAAAAGAACCUGAAACCGUGUACGUACAAGCAGUGGGAGCACCUUCGGGUGUGACUGCGUACCUUUUGUAUAAUGGGUCAGCGACUUAUAUUCUGUAGCAAGGUUAACCGUAUAGGGGAGCCGCAGGGAAACCGAGUCUUAACUGGGCGUUAAGUUGCAGGGUAUAGACCCGAAACCCGGUGAUCUAGCCAUGGGCAGGUUGAAGGUUGGGUAACACUAACUGGAGGACCGAACCGACUAAUGUUGAAAAAUUAGCGGAUGACUUGUGGCUGGGGGUGAAAGGCCAAUCAAACCGGGAGAUAGCUGGUUCUCCCCGAAAGCUAUUUAGGUAGCGCCUCGUGAACUCAUCUUCGGGGGUAGAGCACUGUUUCGGCUAGGGGGUCAUCCCGACUUACCAACCCGAUGCAAACUACGAAUACCGAAGAAUGUUAUCACGGGAGACACACGGCGGGUGCUAACGUCCGUCGUGAAGAGGGAAACAACCCAGACCGCCAGCUAAGGUCCCAAAGUCAUGGUUAAGUGGGAAACGAUGUGGGAAGGCACAGACAGCCAGGAUGUUGGCUUAGAAGCAGCCAUCAUUUAAAGAAAGCGUAAUAGCUCACUGGUCGAGUCGGCCUGCGCGGAAGAUGUAACGGGGCUAAACCAUGCACCGAAGCUGCGGCAGCGACGCUUAUGCGUUGUUGGGUAGGGGAGCGUUCUGUAAGCCUGCGAAGGUGGCCUGUGAGGGCUGCUGGAGGUAUCAGAAGUGCGAAUGCUGACAUAAGUAACGAUAAAGCGGGUGAAAAGCCCGCUCGCCGGAAGACCAAGGGUUCCUGUCCAACGUUAAUCGGGGCAGGGUGAGUCGACCCCUAAGGCGAGGCCGAAAGGCGUAGUCGAUGGGAAACAGGUUAAUAUUCCUGUACUUGGUGUUACUGCGAAGGGGGGACGGAGAAGGCUAUGUUAGCCGGGCGACGGUUGUCCCGGUUUAAGCAUGUAGGCGGAGGUUCCAGGUAAAUCCGGUACCUUUUAACGCUGAGGUGUGAUGACGAGGCACUACGGUGCUGAAGUAACAAAUGCCCUGCUUCCAGGAAAAGCCUCUAAGCAUCAGGUAACAUUAAAUCGUACCCCAAACCGACACAGGUGGUCAGGUAGAGAAUACCAAGGCGCUUGAGAGAACUCGGGUGAAGGAACUAGGCAAAAUGGUGCCGUAACUUCGGGAGAAGGCACGCUGGUGUGUAGGUGAAGUCCCUGCGGAUGGAGCUGAGACCAGUCGAAGAUACCAGCUGGCUGCAACUGUUUAUUAAAAACACAGCACUGUGCAAACACGAAAGUGGACGUAUACGGUGUGACGCCUGCCCGGUGCCGGAAGGUUAAUUGAUGGGGUUAUCCGUAAGGAGAAGCUCUUGAUCGAAGCCCCGGUAAACGGCGGCCGUAACUAUAACGGUCCUAAGGUAGCGAAAUUCCUUGUCGGGUAAGUUCCGACCUGCACGAAUGGCGUAAUGAUGGCCAGGCUGUCUCCACCCGAGACUCAGUGAAAUUGAACUCGCUGUGAAGAUGCAGUGUACCCGCGGCAAGACGGAAAGACCCCGUGAACCUUUACUAUAGCUUGACACUGAACAUUGAGCCUUGAUGUGUAGGAUAGGUGGGAGGCUUUGAAGCGUGGACGCCAGUCUGCGUGGAGCCAACCUUGAAAUACCACCCUUUAAUGUUUGAUGUUCUAACGUUGGCCCCUAAUCGGGGUUGCGGACAGUGUCUGGUGGGUAGUUUGACUGGGGCGGUCUCCUCCCAAAGAGUAACGGAGGAGCACGAAGGUUAGCUAAUCCUGGUCGGACAUCAGGAGGUUAGUGCAAUGGCAUAAGCUAGCUUGACUGCGAGCGUGACGGCGCGAGCAGGUGCGAAAGCAGGUCAUAGUGAUCCGGUGGUUCUGAAUGGAAGGGCCAUCGCUCAACGGAUAAAAGGUACUCCGGGGAUAACAGGCUGAUACCGCCCAAGAGUUCAUAUCGACGGCGGUGUUUGGCACCUCGAUGUCGGCUCAUCACAUCCUGGGGCUGAAGUAGGUCCCAAGGGUAUGGCUGUUCGCCAUUUAAAGUGGUACGCGAGCUGGGUUUAGAACGUCGUGAGACAGUUCGGUCCCUAUCUGCCGUGGGCGCUGGAGAAUUGAGGGGGGCUGCUCCUAGUACGAGAGGACCGGAGUGGACGCAUCACUGGUGUUCGGGUUGUCAUGCCAAUGGCACUGCCCGGUAGCUAAAUGCGGAAGAGAUAAGUGCUGAAAGCAUCUAAGCACGAAACUUGCCCCGAGAUGAGUUCUCCCUGAGACUUUAAGUCUCCUGAAGGAACGUUGAAGACGACGACGUUGAUAGGCCGGGUGUGUAAGCGCAGCGAUGCGUUGAGCUAACCGGUACUAAUGAACCGUGAGGCUUAACCUU
RNAcentral lists this ribosomal RNA (2903 nucleotides) under Klebsiella variicola. RNAcentral describes it as "bacterial LSU rRNA". It matches the Rfam family "Bacterial large subunit ribosomal RNA". Lineage: Bacteria; Pseudomonadati; Pseudomonadota; Gammaproteobacteria; Enterobacterales; Enterobacteriaceae. The record is from RNAcentral.